RNAcentral lists this ribosomal RNA (498 nucleotides) under uncultured bacterium. RNAcentral describes it as "partial 16S ribosomal RNA". It matches the Rfam family "Bacterial small subunit ribosomal RNA", at positions 28 to 523 of the family's 1533-position model. The record is from RNAcentral.
GAUGAACGCUAGCGGCAGGCCUAAUACAUGCAAGUCGGACGGGAUUGGAGAGCUUGCUUCCCAUGAGAGUGGCGCACGGGUGCGUAACACGUAUGCAACCUACCUUUACCAGGGGGAUAGCCUCUCGAAAGAGAGAUUAACACCGCAUAAAAUUAGUUUAUGGCAUCAUAAAUUGAUCAAAUAUUUAUAGGGUAAAGAUGGGCAUGCGGAACAUUAGCUAGUUGGUAAGGUAACGGCUUACCAAGGCGACGAUGUUUAGGGGAUCUGAGAGGAUGACCCCCCACACGGGUACUGAGACACGGACCAGACUCCUACGGGAGGCAGCAGUAAGGAAUAUUGGUCAGUGGGCGCAAGCCUGAACCAGCCAUGCCGCGUGCAGGAAGACGGCCCUACGGGUUGUAAACUGCUUUUGUACGGGAAUAAACCCUGAUACGUGUAUCAGGCUGAAUGUACCGUAAGAAUAAGGAUCGGCUAACUCCGUGCCAGCCGCCGCAGUAA